UUCAAAAUUCCAUUACAACUACAUAGUGAGCAAAACUAGAAAAAAGAAAGUACAAAGAAAUGAAUAUUGAUGCUUUUUAUCUUCUGGCUCCCCACCCCCCUUUUCGGGGGUGGUUUUAUUAAGCUGCAAUCAGAGUUCAUUUUAGCUUCCAUUAGUUUCAGGUCAGGCACAAGUACAACAUGCAGAAAAUGUCAAAUUUUUGAGAUCUUAUAGUAUCAUAUCCUACUCUCCGCCAACCAUACAGUCUCAAGCUUG
RNAcentral lists this unclassified non-coding RNA (255 nucleotides) under Hevea brasiliensis (rubber tree). The record is from RNAcentral. Lineage: Eukaryota; Viridiplantae; Streptophyta; Magnoliopsida; Malpighiales; Euphorbiaceae.